AAUGCACCAAUUUGUAAGUCGCUCUGGAUAAGAGCGUCUGCUAAAUGACAAAAU
Molecule: non-coding RNA, 54 nt
Organism: Salmo salar (Atlantic salmon)
Lineage: Eukaryota; Metazoa; Chordata; Actinopteri; Salmoniformes; Salmonidae
Source: Rfam